AUGAUAGAUGGAGAUGAAGGCAUUGCAAACAUUGAUUUAUACCAUAUCCAUGCAUCUUUGAUUCCCAUUGGAGUUGGAUGCUUGGUAUUUCAGAAGAUGUUUGACCACGUGAAUACAACAAUUGAGGAUCAGAAAAGGGAAGCCAUUUUCCUGAGUCUGCAGCCUUUUCUUCACAACUGGAGAAACUUGGCUGUCGGCAAUGCAUUGUUGAAUGCAACAUACACACAUCCACAAGGAGGGAUGUACGCUAUUACUCCUGUCAGAAUAGCUCGCUGGUUGGGGAUAUAUGUACCUACUUAUCAGGCCAUGCCAGAAGCAGACAGAGUUCAUAUUGAGCUCCUGUAUGAUUAUGAGAUGUUUUUCCUGUAUCUUCGCAAUAGAAUCGCACAUCGGAUGGAGGCACUUAAGGACUACAGGAGACUCCAGAAUGGUCAGGAAUACAGUGUGACAGGAGCUGAUUACCUCUUCAUCAUAAAAUUUGGACUGGUUAUAUGUCAUGUACAGAAGCAGUUAUCUGACGCUGGUGAGCUCAAAUCUUUAAAGCUAUCUCAU
RNAcentral lists this ribosomal RNA (552 nucleotides) under Triticum aestivum (bread wheat). RNAcentral's name for it is "partial small subunit ribosomal RNA". Lineage: Eukaryota; Viridiplantae; Streptophyta; Magnoliopsida; Poales; Poaceae. The record is from RNAcentral.